GUCGCCGUGGUGCUGCUGCUCAGUGGGAGCGGGUCUUCGCAACUGUCUCCGCGUGGCGCGCGCCUCUAGCCGCCCUUCCCCUGGCGGCUACGGCUGGAGGGAGCGGAGGCGAGCGGGAGUCGGGCUCCAUGGAGAGCGGCGGACAACUGGGCAGAGGCGGAGCUUUCAUCUCGGCACCCUGGUUCCAGUGACCCGCGCUAGCGUCCCGUCCCGCCCGCGUCGGAGCGGCCGCCGGCCCCGGGACUGACCGGCCUCGCCGCACCUCCCGCACCGACUAGCGCUCCCGGGCGCUCCUGCGCCCGACUCGCCCUCGCCCCCACUCCCCGGCGGGGUGGCGGCGGCCGGGCCCCCACGGCGGCGGCCGGAGCAGCAGCAGCAGCAGCAGGAGCCCGCCUCUAUGAUGAAGUUCAAGCCCAACCAGACGCGGACCUACGACCGCGAGGGCUUCAAGAAGCGGGCGGCGUGCCUGUGCUUCCGGAGCGAGCAGGAGGACGAGGUGCUGCUGGUGAGUAGCAGCCGGUACCCAGACCAGUGGAUUGUCCCAGGAGGAGGAAUGGAACCCGAGGAGGAACCUGGCGGUGCUGCCGUGAGGGAAGUUUAUGAGGAGGCUGGAGUCAAAGGAAAACUAGGCAGACUUCUGGGCAUAUUUGAGCAGAACCAAGACCGAAAGCACAGAACAUAUGUUUAUGUUCUAACAGUCACUGAAAUAUUAGAAGAUUGGGAAGAUUCUGUUAAUAUUGGAAGGAAGAGAGAGUGGUUCAAAGUAGAAGAUGCUAUCAAAGUUCUCCAGUGUCAUAAACCUGUACAUGCAGAGUAUCUGGAAAAGCUAAAGCUGGGUUGUUCCCCAGCCAAUGGAAAUUCUACAGUCCCUUCCCUUCCGGAUAAUAAUGCCUUGUUUGUAACCGCUGCACAGACCUCUGGGUUGCCAUCUAGUGUAAGAUAGAGAGAACUGGGUAGGCCUCUCCCACCAUGUGCAGUCUCAUGGGGAGAGGCUUCUUUCGUUUCCUCGUCAAACAUCUGAUUGACGCUUGCAAACUGUCUGAAUUUGCCAUGCAAGGUUUUCAAACAAUUUGCAUGUUUUUCAGAUGCUUUCAAAUCUUUUUUUAAAAAAAUAGUGUAAAAUAUUUUAAUAAGCCAAAGCCAUGUGGAAUUUUUGUUUAGAUGCCUUAACUGUGCCACACCCCACAACCCCCUAUAUUAUUUUGGUUGUCUAUUUCUCACAGCAUAUUUUCAGUUUUUUGUCCAUUUGACAUCAGUCUGUGGUUUAUUUUGUCAUCAGAUUACUUGUGGGUAUACCUACCCCAAAAUUGUUUUCUCAUUCACAGCAUUAGCAUAUUCAGCAAAUCCAUCUGUGGUGGGAAUUAAAAAUAUUAUUGGUUUUAAAGAAAUCCAUUCACCCCAAAACUUGUUUUACAGGAUUACAAUUUUAAUUCAAAAUUUCCAGAUUUGGGCUAUUUCUGUAUGAUCCAAUAACUUAUUUUGUCACAGGGCUUAAUUUGCCAUUUUUGGGGAUUUGUCGACUCAUUUUGUCUGAAUUUUCACAACUGGUAUUAUGUCACUAGCUACCUGAUAUGGCUAUUUCCCUUAUAACUCAAUAGUACCUUAACACAAAGUAUAACUCUGUAGAGUUGGUGAAUAUUUUAGGGAAAUAUUAGCAAAAUGCAUGUAGUAAAGACAUCUUAUGAAAACUGUAUUCAUGGAAUUUGAUUUAGCAUGCUCAGUUGCCAGUUCCCAUUAUCGAUACUCUUUCUAUGCAGAAUACCUUAGAACCGUUAUUUCCCUCAGUGUAGAUUGCUCUUAAAAUGUAUUCAGUUAUUUAGUGGCCCCCACAGGAGUGGAGUCUUGAAAUCUAAUUCUAAAUGCCAGUCAGUGAUGAUCGCAUCACAGUUGAGUGAAAUGGCCUUCCUGUUCAGCUGUUAGAGACUGAAGAUUGUUAGGGCACCUUAGAAUGUCUCAUCUUUUCUAGGUUGUCAACAGGUACUAUUUGUCACAUAACUAACUUUCGAGGCACUGGAACAUACCUGAACUAAGAAUUAAGUCUUUUACUUUAUACUCACUUAAAAUCAAGAAUCCCAUCUAAAACACAUAGGUACCUUAUCUGAAACUCUUGCACUUCCCCAACCAGGGCAGAAAUGAGGUGGGAGAAGUUUGACUAAAAUGAGGGAUGGGGGAAAGUAAAAGAUGUUUUUUUUUUUUUUGAGACUCGCUUUGUCACCCAGGCUGGAGUGCAAUGGCACAAUCUCAACUCACCGCAACCUCCGCCUCCCAGGUUCAAGCGAUUCUCCUGCCUCAGCCUCCCGAGUAGUUGGGAUUACAGGAGCCUGCCUCCAUGCCUGGCUAAUUUUGUAUUUUUAGUAGAGACAGGGUUUCUUCAUGUUGGUCAGGCUGGUCUCAAACUCCUAACCUCGUGAUCCGCCUGCCUCGACCUCCCAAAGUGCUGGUAUUACAGGCAUGAGCCACCAUGCCCAGCCAAAGAUCAUUUUUUUAUAUAGACUUCAGCCCUUUGUAAAUAUUGUAACUGGGGAGUAUAGAGUAGAAAAAAAGUAUAGUUAAAACAUUUGUUCUACAAAUUAACCUUUAAAAAUAUAAUUACUGCUAAAAAUAGAGUGCUGUUACACUUAAGGAAAAUUAGUGCCAUUUUGGAAAUGAGAUCUUGUGCCAUAAAUACAGCUGAACUGAAUAUAAAUGUUCACAAAUUAAUGCUGUCAAAGGAAUGAGUAAAGCAGAAAAACUUUUAACCAGCAACAUUUCAAGUACGUAGUGUGAUCAAACAUGAUCAUCCAGAAUUUGUAUAUUUUUUUCUUUGUACAGAGGUUACAUAUUCUGGGUGUUCUUUUAUAAAGGAAACAUUUUAAAUCCCACAAAUUGACACUUUCUAUCUUCAAUGGACUAAGAUUUUUUUGGUCAGUAAUCUCUGAAAUUUCCUUAAAUUAUAUACUUAACAUAGCAGAGAAACUGGAUUGUUUUUGUAUAUAAGACUGCUUCCACCUGAAAUGCUGUCAUAAGUACUGGGGGGGUGGGGGAGUGCCCAUCUUGUACAUGAUAUUCUUAGAGGUAAUAAGGUAAUGAUGCAUGAAUUUAUUUUAUAAACUCUUGGACUAUGUAUUUGACAUGUAAAAUAUGUACAGUAUUAACGUCAACCAUCUCUUUAAAGUUAGCCUAUAAAUAUUGUUGUAUAAUUUUCUUUGGUCAGAAACACUUGUACUGAAUAGUGACACUCGGUAAGGAUUUUCAGUGCCAUUUAGCAAAACGUCUUUAGUCUAUGCAACUAGCAAAAAUCUGCAUAAUGCAACAACACAGUUUUCACACUUCAAAUUUUACAUGAGGGGUUCUUCACGAUUCUCCUGGAACCCAGUCUAGCAAAAUGAGAGGAAAGGCCCUAGGGAGAUUUAUUUCUGUUAAGUAGUUAACUCUGCUGAGUAUGACAAAUAGUGUCUACUAUCUCAACCCUCCAAAAUUUGCAGAGUGUUGGGACUGUCAUUUGUGAUUUUUUUUUUUUUUUUUUGGUGGGGUAGUUGAAUAAAAUUGGGCAGCUAAAUUUUUCAGUUCCAUGUGCCUCCCAAAUAAAAAACAGAAAAUAAGUAGUUUUUGUGAAUUGACUUGCAGACAAAGUAGAAACUGUGCUGCAUGAUGUUAUUUUGUAAACAGAUGACAUUUUCUGACCAGGCACAUGCCAUCCAAUUUUCUGUCAAUCACACUGUUGUAUAAAGCAGCAGAACUGAAGGGGAAAAAUGAUUGUUGUAUACACUGAAUUGCUUUGCAUGGUCUCAUUUGAGAUAAUUGAUGUAAGCAUCCUGACUUUUUUAUAUUUGGAAACAUCAAAUAAAAAUGGAAAAAA
Molecule: RNA transcript, 3838 nt
Organism: Homo sapiens (human)
Lineage: Eukaryota; Metazoa; Chordata; Mammalia; Primates; Hominidae
Gene: NUDT4P2
Gene name: nudix hydrolase 4 pseudogene 2
Exons: 1
Source: RefSeq, marked validated